RNAcentral lists this transfer RNA (75 nucleotides) under Planctomycetota bacterium. RNAcentral describes it as "Planctomycetes bacterium (groundwater metagenome) tRNA-Thr". It matches the Rfam family "tRNA". From Rfam's summary of the family: Transfer RNA (tRNA) molecules are approximately 80 nucleotides in length. Their secondary structure includes four short double-helical elements and three loops (D, anti-codon, and T loops). Further hydrogen bonds mediate the characteristic L-shaped molecular structure. tRNAs have two regions of fundamental functional importance: the anti-codon, which is responsible for specific mRNA codon recognition, and the 3' end, to which the tRNAs corresponding amino acid is attached (by aminoacyl-tRNA synthetases). tRNAs cope with the degeneracy of the genetic code in two manners: having more than one tRNA (with a specific anti-codon) for a particular amino acid; and 'wobble' base-pairing, i.e. permitting non-standard base-pairing at the 3rd anti-codon position. The record is from RNAcentral. Lineage: Bacteria; Pseudomonadati; Planctomycetota.
GCCGACGUAGCUCAGCGGUAGAGCAGCUGUUCUGUAAACAGCGGGCCGGGGGUUCAAAUCCCUCCGUCGGCUCCA